This 1060-nucleotide ribosomal RNA is filed under the name Virgibacillus pantothenticus. Its description in RNAcentral is "partial 23S ribosomal RNA". It matches the Rfam family "Bacterial large subunit ribosomal RNA", at positions 278 to 1341 of the family's 2925-position model. The record is from RNAcentral. Lineage: Bacteria; Bacillati; Bacillota; Bacilli; Caryophanales; Bacillaceae.
AAGGCUUGCCUUCUGGGGUUGUAGGACACUCCAUAGGAGUUAUCAAGAGAUUCUUUAGAUGAAGCGAUCUGGAAAGGUCGGCCAAAGAAGGUAACAGCCCUGUAAUCGAAAAGGAAUCUCCUCCGGAGUGUAUCCUGAGUACGGCGGAACACGAGGAAUUCCGUCGGAAUCCGGGAGGACCAUCUCCCAAGGCUAAAUACUCCCUAGUGACCGAUAGUGAACCAGUACCGUGAGGGAAAGGUGAAAAGCACCCCGGGAGGGGAGUGAAAGAGAACCUGAAACCGUGUGCCUACAAGUAGUCGAAGCCCGUUAAUGGGUGACGGCGUACCUUUUGUAGAAUGGACCGGCGAGUUACGAUCGUAUGCAAGGUUAAGUGGAAGACACGGAGCCGCAGCGAAAGCGAGUCUGAAUAGGGCGAUAUAGUAUGCGGUCGUAGACCCGAAACCGUGUGAUCUACCCAUGUCCAGGGUGAAGGUCAGGUAACACUGACUGGAGGCCCGAACCCACGUAUGUUGAAAAAUGCGGGGAUGAGGUGUGGGUAGGGGUGAAAUGCCAAUCGAACACGGAGAUAGCUGGUUCUCUCCGAAAUAGCUUUAGGGCUAGCCUCAAGGAAAGAGUACUGGAGGUAGAGCACUGAUUGAACUAGGGGCCCUCAUCGGGUUACCGAAUUCAGUCAAACUCCGAAUGCCAGCUACUUAUCCUUGGGAGUCAGACUAUGGGUGAUAAGGUUCAUAGUCGAAAGGGAAACAGCCCAGACCGCCAGCUAAGGUCCCAAAGUAUACGUUAAGUGGAAAAGGAUGUGGAGUUGCCCAGACAACCAGGAUGUUGGCUUAGAAGCAGCCACCAUUUAAAGAGUGCGUAAUAGCUCACUGGUCGAGUGACUCUGCGCCGAAAAUGUACCGGGGCUAAACGUAUCACCGAAGCUGCGGAUUGUUCUACGAACAAUGGUAGGAGAGCGUUCAAAGUGCAGUGAAGUCAGAUCGUGAGGACUGGUGGAGCGCUUUGAAGUGAGAAUGCCGGUAUGAGUAGCGAAAAAAGAGUGAGAAUCUCUUUCACCGAA